AUCCUUUUGUAGUUAGUGAGUUUAAUGACUGGGUGUUCACGCACUUGCGUGAGAUGUGCCACCCUCAAACUUUGUUACGAUGUCAGCUCAUUACCUAACUUGAAA
Molecule: non-coding RNA, 105 nt
Organism: Callithrix jacchus (white-tufted-ear marmoset)
Lineage: Eukaryota; Metazoa; Chordata; Mammalia; Primates; Cebidae
Source: Rfam